GACGAACGCUGGCGGCGUGCUUAACACAUGCAAGUCGAACGGAAAGGCCCUGCUUUUGUGGGGUGCUCGAGUGGCGAACGGGUGAGUAACACGUGAGUAACCUGCCCUUGACUUUGGGAUAACUUCAGGAAACUGGGGCUAAUACCGGAUAGGAGCUCCUGCUGCAUGGUGGGGGUUGGAAAGUUUCGGCGGUUGGGGAUGGACUCGCGGCUUAUCAGCUUGUUGGUGUGGUAGUGGCUUACCAAGGCUUUGACGGGUAGCCGGCCUGAGAGGGUGACCGGCCACAUUGGGACUGCGAUACGGCCCAGACUCCUACGGGCGGCAGCAGUGGGGAAUAUUGCACAAUGGGCGGAAGCCUGAUGCAGCAACGCCGCGUGCGGGAUGACGGCCUUCGGGUUGUAAACCGCUUUCGCCUGUGACGAAGCGUGAGUGACGGUAAUGGGUAAAGAAGCACCGGCUAACUACGUG
RNAcentral lists this ribosomal RNA (468 nucleotides) under uncultured bacterium. RNAcentral describes it as "partial 16S ribosomal RNA". It matches the Rfam family "Bacterial small subunit ribosomal RNA", at positions 28 to 507 of the family's 1533-position model. The record is from RNAcentral.